RNAcentral lists this unclassified non-coding RNA (1201 nucleotides) under Hevea brasiliensis (rubber tree). The record is from RNAcentral. Lineage: Eukaryota; Viridiplantae; Streptophyta; Magnoliopsida; Malpighiales; Euphorbiaceae.
GUAAAGCUUCCCUUUAUUCAUUUUGCUUUUUCGUCUCAUUUAUAUUUUGGGGGAAAAAAAAUGGAGCGUGAGAUGUCAGCAGCAGCUGAAAAAAAUAGAAUCAAAACAAAUUCCAUUUCCAGUGACCUAAAACCCUAACCACAAACGAUGCCCUUGUAGAUCCUAAUUAAAUACUUCGCUUUCUCCUCUUCGUAUAGUCUCACCACCAACCUGUCAAUCCUCCUCAUGUUUCGCAGAAUCUGCUUCUCUUACUCCCGCUCUGCUAUUCUCCACUCCUCAUUCUUUCACGUCCAAACCCCUAUCUGCUCCCAAAUCUCUCACAAACCAAGUUCUCGCCUUUUCAAUUCUGCCCGCCACCGAUUCUCUGCAUCUUUUACCAAAAUGGGUGAUACCCACAAACCCAAAUCCACUAUCCCACAACUUGAAAAGGCAACUAAACCCGAAUUGCUCCGUGCCCUCGAGUCCUCUUUGGGUUCCUCAUUCAGCAGUGAACCCAUUUGCCCACCGCCGAAUCCUUUAAUCAUUGUAAUUAGCGGCCCGAGUGGGGUUGGCAAAGACGCAGUUAUCAGAAAAUUGAGAGAAGGGCGAGAAAAUUUGCAUUUUGUUGUAACUGCGACUAGCAGGCCAAUGCGUCCGGGCGAGGUUGAUGGUAAGGACUAUUAUUUUGUGUCAAAGGAGGAAUUUUUAUCGAUGGUGGAUAAAAAUGAGCUGUUAGAAUAUGCACUUGUGUAUGGUGAUUAUAAGGGGAUACCAAAAAGGCAGAUUACGGAUUAUAUGGCAAAAGGGUAUGAUAUUGUGUUGAGGGUAGAUAUACAGGGAGCACAGACAUUGAGGAAGAUCCUGGGGAAUUCGGCUGUGUUUAUAUUUUUGGUAGCGGAAAGCGAGUUGGAGCUUGUGGAUAGGUUGAUUGAUAGGAAGACGGAGACAGCAGAGUCUUUGCUUGUGAGGGUUGCCACCGCCAGAGAGGAGGUGCAACACAUCAAGAAUUUUGAUUAUGUGGUUGUGAAUGCUGAGGGGAAGUUGGAUUACGCGGUGAAGCUGGUUGAAUCAAUUAUUGAUGCUGAGAAGGCUAAGGUUCGACAAAGGAGAGCCGUGAUUUAGUUGAGUUGUGAUUUAGUUGAGUUUUUUGUUUUUGUCUCGAGUGGAAAUGGGAUAAUUGGCCAAAGGCGGGAGCAUUAGUCAACUACUUUCCUAACCUGGC